GCAAAACGCGAAGAACCUUACCCACCUUUGACAUGUACGGAAUCCUUUAGAGAUAGAGGAGUGCUCGAAAGAGAGCCGUAACACAGGUGCUGCAUGGCUGUCGUCAGCUCGUGUCGUGAGAUGUUGGGUUAAGUCCCGCAACGAGCGCAACCCUUGCCAUUAGUUGCUACAUUUAGUUGAGCACUCUAAUGGGACCGCCGGUGACAAACCGGAGGAAGGUGGGGAUGGACGUCAAGUCCUCAUGGCCCUUAUAGGUGGGGCUACGACACGUCAUACAAUGGCUGGUACAAAGGGUUGCCAACCCGCGAGGGGGNGCGUAAUCCCAUAAAGCCAGUCGUAGUCCGGAUCGCAGUCUGCAACUCGACUGCGUGAAGUCGGAAUCGCUAGUAAUCGUGGAUCAGAAUGUCACGGUGAAUACGUUCCGGGUCUUGUACACACCG
This 440-nucleotide ribosomal RNA is filed under the name uncultured bacterium. RNAcentral's name for it is "bacterial SSU rRNA". It matches the Rfam family "Bacterial small subunit ribosomal RNA", at positions 954 to 1392 of the family's 1533-position model. The record is from RNAcentral.